RNAcentral lists this transfer RNA (84 nucleotides) under Fidelibacterota bacterium. RNAcentral describes it as "tRNA-Leu". It matches the Rfam family "tRNA". Rfam says of the family: Transfer RNA (tRNA) molecules are approximately 80 nucleotides in length. Their secondary structure includes four short double-helical elements and three loops (D, anti-codon, and T loops). Lineage: Bacteria; Pseudomonadati; Fidelibacterota. The record is from RNAcentral.
GCCCGGGUGGCGGAAUGGGUAGACGCGCACGGUUCAGGUCCGUGUGUUCGAAAGAACGUGCUGGUUCGAGUCCAGUCCUGGGUA